AACACAUCAACUUCCAAAAUAUUGAGAUUCAAGGCUUCUGCAUACAAUGGAUCACCUCUACCUGAAGGGGCCAUGCACUCUYUUCCCAAGUUCAGUUACUGUAACUCCUUCACUGAAUAGGAAUAUACGGAAUUCAUGACUUGCCUAAGGCGUGGGAGUAUUAGACUCCUGUCUGUGCUCUCUUUUGGAGCUCAAACUCUGCAGACAGGAGCCUGGACACACCUGGACCCUCCGUGUGAAGGGCCAGCCUCUGGUCUCCAGAUCCUCACAGGUGAGAGAGGUGCAGGGGACUGCAAAAUGUCUGCAGGUGCUCGGACAUGCCUGGGGUUCCAGGACACAAGAAUACAGCCUCACAGAGUGUGAAUACACUCUGCAG
Molecule: long non-coding RNA, 376 nt
Filed under: Urocitellus parryii (Arctic ground squirrel)
Lineage: Eukaryota; Metazoa; Chordata; Mammalia; Rodentia; Sciuridae
Description: lncRNA (ENSUPAG00010013319.1)
Source: RNAcentral